UAGGGAAUCUUCCGCAAUGGACGAAAGUCUGACGGAGCAACGCCGCGUGAGUGAAGAAGGAUUUCGGUUCGUAAAACUCUGUUGUUAGGGAAGAAAAAAUGUAUAGUAACUAUAUACAAAAGAGACGGUACCUAACCAGAAAGCCACGGCUAACUACGUGCCAGCAGCCGCGGUAAUACGUAGGUGGCAAGCGUUGUCCGGAAUUAUUGGGCGUAAAGCGCGCGCAGGUGGUUUAGAAAGUCUGCUGUGAAAGCCCACGGCUCAACCGUGGAGGGUCAUUGGAAACUAAUAAACUUGAGUGCAGGAGAGAAAAGUGGAAUUCCUAGUGUAGCGGUGAAAUGCGUAGAGAUUAGGAGGAACACCGGUGGCGAAAGCGGCUUUUUGGCCUGCAACUGACACUGAGGCGCGAAAGCGUGGGGAGCAAACAGG
This 429-nucleotide ribosomal RNA is filed under the name Verrucomicrobiota bacterium. RNAcentral describes it as "Verrucomicrobia bacterium partial 16S ribosomal RNA". It matches the Rfam family "Bacterial small subunit ribosomal RNA", at positions 355 to 776 of the family's 1533-position model. The record is from RNAcentral. Lineage: Bacteria; Pseudomonadati; Verrucomicrobiota.